This 8133-nucleotide unclassified non-coding RNA is filed under the name Monomorium pharaonis (pharaoh ant). RNAcentral's name for it is "uncharacterized LOC105834853, transcript variant X2". The record is from RNAcentral. Lineage: Eukaryota; Metazoa; Arthropoda; Insecta; Hymenoptera; Formicidae.
UGCACCGGGGAUCGCCGGGAUCUGUGGACCGCCGACCGCGUCCCUCGCGCCGACGGAUUACGUGACGGCGGCAUGCUAUCCCCCGGGAUCACAACUUACCCUGACCGCCACUCACCCUCAGCCCCACGUCGUUGAUCCCGCCAUGACGCCCACCUCGGCGCCGGUGCCGACCCCGACGUCGGCGUCGGGCCCCAACAACCCCGUCGCCAUGAGCCAGCUGGGGACCGUCUACGCCACCAAGAGACGGCGUCGGAACGGAAAGAGCUUAAAACCACCACAGAAAGACGGGGUGACAAAGUCAAAUCCCAGCAAGCGGCAUCGAGAACGAUUGAACGCCGAGCUGGAUACGCUGGCGUCAUUACUUCCUUUCGAGCAAAAUAUCCUCAGCAAGCUGGAUCGACUGAGCAUUCUCAGACUCAGCGUAAGCUACCUCCGCACCAAGAGCUACUUUCAAGUGGUGAUGCACAAAGAUAAGGAGGAGAAUUCGCACCACGACUCGCAUUACAGGACGAGAGAGCUGGCGGCGCUCGCCGCUUAUGACCAUCAUCACCUCGACGGCGAAAUGUUCCUACAGGCACUGAACGGGUUCCUGCUAAUACUGACUUGCGACGGGGAAGUGUUUUUCGCUACCCAUAGCAUAGAGAGUUAUCUUGGCUUCCAUCAGUCUGACAUUGUUCACCAGAGUGUCUAUGAACUGGUGCACAGCGAAGACCGGGAGGAGUUGCAGCGGCAAUUAAUGUGGAAUUCUUUCCUGCCCGCCGAAAGUGCAAGCCUGCCGUUGCACGAUGCGCUCUCGCCCCAGCAUUGUCAUCUGCUCGAACGUAGCUUCACGGUUCGCUUCCGUUGUCUUCUCGACAAUACAUCCGGUUUUCUGCGUCUCGACAUCAGGGGCCGAGUUAAAGUACUUCACGGCCAGAACCGGAAGACGGAAGAGCCACCCCUGGCCCUAUUUGCCCUGUGCACGCCGUUCGGGCCACCCUCGCUCCUGGAGGUGCCGCAGAAGGAAGUAAUGUUUAAGAGCAAACACAAGCUGGAUCUCGCGCUCGUGACGAUGGAUCAGAAAGGAAAAAUGCUUCUAGGGUACUCUGACGCGGAACUAACGAAUCUCGGUGGCUACGAUCUAGUCCAUUACGACGACCUGGCCUACGUUGCUAGCGCUCAUCAAGAACUGUUGAAAACUGGUGCAUCGGGCAUGAUAGCCUACAGAUUUCAAACGAAGGACGGCGGAUGGCAGUGGCUGCAAACCAGCUCUAGACUGGUCUACAAAAACUCGAAACCAGACUUCGUGCUUAGUACACAUCGACCUCUUAUGGAAGAGGAAGGUAGAGACCUGCUCGGCAAACGUACGAUGGAUUUCAAGGUGAGCUAUCUGGACGCCGGAUUGACCAAUAGCUACUUCUCGGACAGCGACACUCUGACGGGAUCAGUCAUGACGCCGACAUUACCAACGCAACCGGCGCCCCAGCGAGUGAAUAGGCGAUACAAGACGCAGCUGCGGGACUUCCUCUCGACGUGCCGCAGCAAACGUACCAAGCUCUCCGCUCAGUCGUCGGUCUCGCCGCCAGUUACUCCCACAGUCGCGUCCGUGGACUAUCUCGCGGCGGAUACCAACGCGGCAGCCGCAGUCGCUGCGGCGUAUAGCAACUUGAACACCAUGUACGCGCCACCGUACGCGCCCACAGCGGUAGCGGCGAGCACCGAUCCUUCUCUAACUUACAUCGGUCAUACUAGCAAUUAUCAUCAGACUCUCUAUCCCGCGAGUGCGUUAGAUAACAGGUAUCUCACAGCUGCAACAGAGAAUCUAUUUCAAACGUACAGACCGCUGGGUUCGUAUUAUCCGGAAUACCAUACCGGCACUGCGUACAACGGCUUCAUCGACGUGUCGUUGCCCACGUACGAGACUCAUCAGCUGACCAGUAAGACAGAGGAGAAGCUCUACUGUCAGCAGCUUGGUAGUGGCGAGUCCCCCAAGUACAGCUACGUGGAGACGAGACAUCCCGGAAGCGUCAGUGGUUCACCCUAUGCCGCCAGCCCCGUGGCAAGCGUGUCUACGAUGCAUCCAACGACGACAACGGAUAUGAAUGCGGUACGUGCUGGCAGUAGGCACUCGCUGGAGGGUGGCGCGUCGUCCAGCAAUUCCGCCGGGAGCUCGCCGGUGACCGGAGCUGCCAAUGGUAUGCUAACGCCGAAGAUCGAGGACGUAAAACCCGAGGUGUAUAACAACGAGGCGCCGCGGCAGACUGUGCUAAUGUGGGGUGCGCCGCCGUCGCGCACACCCCCGAGAAACAACGGCAGCUACAGCCCACCGACGCCGCACUCGACUCACUCGUCCACGCACUCGACCAACACCACCGGUGAUCCGCUCAAGUCGCUUGCAGAGAUGAACUCAAUGAACGGGGACUGCAAAUGGCGGCAAACCUCCCCGACGGAUCAGCAAGUAACUGCGCCGAGUCCGCCGAGGAACAAUAAAACGCAACAGUCUCAGCAACAGCAGCAGCAGCAACAACAACAACAACAACAUCAUCAUCAGCAACAGCAGCAGCAUCAACAACAGUAUCCUGUCACGACGUCGCAAUAUCAAGCAGCCGCAGCGGCAGCUGCAGCCGCUGCCGCCGCCGCCAGCACCAUUAGUUAUUCGCAUUCUCAUCCGGGCCACAGCGGACAUGGGGAAACGGGCACCGAGGUAUGGCAAGGAGUGCAACACCAUCACUACCAGUACUAUCCCUACCACCAUCACCACCCCGCACCACCAAGGCACACGCCCCACACGCCACCGUCAGUUGCGGGAACGGGGACGGGGGUGGCGGCAGGCAUGGGCAUGGGCACCGGGGUGGACAACAGCACCAGCAGCAACAACAGCAACGUCUUGUACCACCCUCCGCACCACCACCACCACCACGUAGUGGGAUCAUCAGCGGCAGCGGCGGUGGCGGCGGCGGGAAUGGGCCCAACUGUUCCACAGAUUCCAAACCGGACGCCGGGAGUCCUUUGCUGUCCAUCUCUGAGGUGACUAACACCCUGCUCAACCAAUAGUCCUUUGGUCACUUUAUGUCAGUAAUGAAGGUAUUUUUGAAGAGAUAUCUUCACCGAAAUAGAUCCCAAAAUGUGUCACUGUAUCAUACAGAUAAUGUCGACUAAAAAGAAAUAAGAAUAUAUACGUUUAGUACUGUAACAUACUCAUUGCAAAGCUAAUAACCAACCUAGUAUUACGUAACUUUUAUUGCAUUAAUUUAUCCGUACAGAUACAGUUAAGUGGAUGUUCUUCAGGAUUCACAGUUUGAGUCUGCAUGUGACACUGAUCGCAAGCUUGUGUGCGUGAAGGGCAGCGAUCACGAGGUGUUUUCCAAUUUUAUUUUAUUCGCUACUCCAAGAUACAACGAUUGCAUGACGAGUAGCAAUAGCACUCUACUGCAGAACAGAUGAAUAGAGAAAUUCAACAAAUCGAAACUAUACUACUUUUCUUAUUUUCAAAGAUUGGUUAUUGAAAAUAAAUGUCCACUUAUUUAUUUCAAUUUAACUAGUCUUCUAUAAAAUAUGAGAAUAUAAAAAUUUGAUUUAUUAAGAUAAUAAGAAACAAAAUUAUCAUUAUAUCAAAUAAAAUUUUGGAAUAUAAAUGCAGACUACACGCUAUGAAAAGACAAAGAUUGAAAACGAAGUAUUGUAUAAUACGAUCAACAUUAAUUAUACAUCGUUCUGUGAUCUAAUUUUUUACCUUGAAUUAGUAAAAAAAAAGUGUUUUUACUAAUAUAAUGAGAUGUAUGUAUAUUAUAUUUCUUGUUCCGCGAUAAACUGGCAAAUAUUUUUAAAAAAAGUAAAAUAAUGAUCACUGCCCAGACACUGAGCGAAAUGGGAUAAUGAACGACAUGCGUUUGAACCAAAAAAGAAAAAGCGUCAAACACUAUUUAUAUCAAAUAGAGCACAAAAUUUUAUUUUGAUCUUUGACAAGCGCAACAAACAGUGCGACUUUAGUUUGUAUUAAUAUCAUGACGUUUUGUACAAUUCUACUCGUAAUUUAGUGCUUUUGUAUCCCAUGCUAUUGCGUUUAUAUAAUUCUUUUUCUUUUCUAAAAGAGAAUAUGAAUUCUGUGAUAUGUGUUAGGUAAUUUAACAACAAAUUCUUUAGAACAAAGACGUACUCGAGUAUAAUAUUUAUUAACAUAAAGUACGGCGAUAAGAAAACUCGCCUAGAAAUUUAAAAAGAUUUGAACGACAUAUCGUAAUACGAAUUACAAGGAAACAUAAAACGAUGAUUCUUUUCUAAAUGAAGAUUUGAAGAAGUGUUCCGAUUGACGGGAAAUCGAUUCUUGUAAGGACACGCAUUUUAAGAAUGUAUACAGAAAUAAGUGAAAAUUUUAAAAACGCAGGUUGUUAUUAUGAUAGGCGAACAGAUAGUCUUGUUUAAAUAAAAGAAAAAGGACACUACUAAUAUACAUUCUACAUACACACACACACGCACACACACACGCACGCACACACACACGCACACACACACGCACACACACACACACACACACACACACACACACACAUAUGCAUAAGCGAUCUCUCUGAGUUACAUGCAUUAAAAUGGAAUUCCUACUGUUGAAAUAAGACGUAAAUGUAAAGUAAGUUCAACAAGUUCUCUUCCUUUUACGAUAAAUCUAUACUCUCCACUUUAUACCACAGUCUUUUAAAUAAAAAUUAAAAUUUCAGUCAUCGAAUAUUUCAAAUAAAUUCAAUAACCUCUGCGUGACUUUUGGCUUCCUGGAUAUUUAUUUUAAAUAAUUCGCAGUAAUUAAUGGAUUAUUGAUAGAAGUUUGAAAAAAGGUGAAAAUUCCCGUUUGCAUUAGUCGAUUAAUUUUGUUAUGAUUAAAAGAGUCAAAAUUAUCAAUUUGUUGUAAUUUUGUGUAUUACAAGACAAAGAUAAAAUAGAAGAUAAAAAACUAUUUCUAAUAUUCUAUGAGUAUUUUAUGUAAUAUUGUUAUUAACAAAGUGUUACAUCGCAUUUAGCGAUUAAUAUCUUGUAUUAGAAAUAUAGAUAUAAAUAUAUUUCGCAAAAUGUUCUGUUUUUUCUUUCGUUUUUAUUAAUAGGCUACUGUAACGGGAAGCAAUACAAAGCUUUGUGUUCCUUAAGUUAUUCUCUUUCGAGUACUGAGAUUUUGAAAUCUCGUUAAAUGAUUAAAUAAAGGAAAUGGAAAGUGAUGUUCGUAGCCUGUUAAUUCGGCUAAACUUGUCUUGCCAAUAUUUUGUUAAUAAGUUUGUAAUUUUUGUACUUAAUUAAUUUAUACACAUUAUUUAUCUCUAUGUGUAAUUCGUGUUUAGUGAUGCUAGGUGGGCCUUCCAAUAAUUUUAAGCUCAUUCUGUCUCUCUCUUUCUCUUUCUCUUUCUCUUUCUCUUGUAAAGUCAAAGAAAUUUCCCGAUAAAGAAUGAACUUUUAAAAAAGAUUUGUGCGAAUAAGAAUAUAAUAUAUGAGCACAAAGAACGAAAGCUAUUUUAAGGUAACAAUAAAAGAGCUGUUAUUUCCACGCGCUUCUAAAAGUGCAUUAACUUUGCAUAUUCACAUCUGCAUAUCAAAGUGGUAAAAAGUAAAAAGUAAAUUUAAAGAGAGCAGUAUAUAUUUAGGUAUUCUCUUCCAUACUUUUCGAAUCAUCGUAUCAACUAUAAUACAUAAGACAUAUCAGUUGUACAAAAAUGAUGCUCCCUGUUAAGGAUAAUAAGCGAAUAAUUCCAUUUUCUUUGUGUUUUUAUUUUUAACUGAUUGUAAAUUUUAUAUGUUCAUACGUAUGAGAUAUAUAUCUCAUUCUCAUCAUAAUCAAAACACUGGAUGCAAAGACUAAGCAAGUAUUAUAUUUAAUGAACAAAGUGCAUGAACUAUUGCUCGUUAGAAUGCACAUUUUGAAAUAAUAAUUAACUAAUAAAUUAAAUGUAUUGAAAGAAAAUAUAUAGAGGGCUCAACCUACAUUAUUUUUUUUAACUAACUGAAGAAAAAAUGUUUCGGACUUAAAUGUUUUGGAUAUUUUAUUGCAUUUUUGCAAUAUUCAGCCAAGUUAGACUUGACUCUUACACGAUAUUUGCAUCCUGAUUUUCGAUUAUCUCAAUAUCCUAUUCUACUUUGAUUGACUUUGUAAUUAAAUGCAGCUCAAGAUAACUCGAAACUUAUUACUAUCAGACAUGUCCUCAUUGUCUUGCAAUUCUCGGAUAAAUUAUGCAUAAAAUAUUUAUUAUAAAAUAACAAUUUCAAAAACUAGAUUAUAUUUUGAAAACAUUUUUCUUGAAGCAAACAUUGCUACUUUUCAAUUUUGAUUUAACUUGCUAAAGUCUUCCCGGUGUCUUCUUCGUGUAUUUGUAUAUUUCUGCAAUAUAUAUUUUAAUUUGCAAAAUAUAAUUCUGUUUGUUUUUUUAAAAAUGUACAAUUGAUUAUAGAUACAUUUGAUGUUAGACAAAUGUUGAUAAAGAAAACAAAAAUUGGAAUUCAGAGAAUUGAGAAUAAGUCGAUAGUGAUGAUCCGUUUCGAAUCCAAAUCUUGUGUAUAUCUAUAUAUUUCUGACUUAUACUGUUAUAGCUUACGAAAAAUAUUUCUCUGCAAUAUCAUUAAACGUUAAGAAGCUGCUGCUGCUACUACUCUUACUACUAUUACUACUACUAUUACUAUUAUUAUUAUUAUUAUUAUUAUCAUUAUUAUUAAGUAAUCGAGUCUAGUCCAUUCAUUAAAAAGAGCAAAUUAGUACCGAUAUAUGAUAAUAUGUAUGCUUAAAUUGUGAUAAUAUUCUCGUCGUGAAGCUAAUUUAAUCCGACAAUCUUAUCGAUUAUAAGUUUUUCUUGGUGCAUCAAUGUGUAAAUGUAACUAUAGCAAAAGGAGAUAAUAGUAAUAUGAGAUAUAUUAUCACGAGAUAUAAUAUUUACAGUUGCCUCUACAUUGAGUUAAGAUCGCGAGAAUAUUUUGACAAUCUAAGCAUUAAUGUAUAUUCAUUGUAUAUUUGAAGUAAGAUAUCUUAUAUAACGAACAUAAAUUAAGAUCAUAGUCAGUACAGAUUCUCAAGCAGCUAUCCACAUAGACCGAGAACACGUACCUUAUUUUCUAACAAUUUUACUCACUGGAGUAAAAUGCAAUAUUAUAGUGCGAUUUCAUUCAGCGUACUGCGUAGCAGCAACCACGCUGCUUCGGAAUAGAAUAAUUUCGCCGAGGGAGCUUGAAGAAGCUCAGUUCUUUGAAAAUUUUAGCCGGAUUUUGCGUGAGAAAACUAAAUAGAAAAGUUAAGAUUAAUCCUUUCAAAUAUCAAGCAUUAUACGAAUAAAACAUUCGUAAAUUCUUCGUUCGAGAGUUAUUUUCUAUCCUGCAGUACUCUAAGAUGAGAAAUAAAAUGUUGCUUAUUUAACGAAUUAUAAUUUUAUAAAAGUUGAUGACGAAAAGUAUAUUUGAAUAAAAACAACUUUAUUUUAAUGUGAUGUUCCAGGUGAUUAAUUUAUCAAGUGCAUUGGCUGAUCUGUAAAAUUUGAUAUUUUUGAUGUUUUUAAAAUGUUUUAAGAGACUAUCAGUUAUUAUUGUUUCUUUUUAGCUAAAUACUUUGUAUUACUAAAAAUAUAACUUUCUUUGUUACCUAUAGUAUAUCUAAAUGCAUAUGUAAAAAAUCAUAUAUGCUGAAUAAAAAGAUAUAAUUUUUCGAACGGAGAAAUAUACAAAUAUUAAAUUGUUCCGAACCUAUCAUUAUAAUAAUUACUAUUUACUUAUUUUUUUCAAAUAAUUUUAUUUUAUAUGUCUGAAUGUAUUGAAGUCGAAUAACAGUACCAUGCCAAACCGAAUUUUGAAUCUUGAUCACUCCAUCCAUUUUUCUCUGAUAUAUUAUAUCUUAUAGGAUUUAGCUACUAUUAACACCAUUGCUAAUGAUAAGUUCUACAAAUAAAAUUUAAAAACUGUAUCAAAUGUUUAUAUAUCUGAAAUAAAUUAUAAUAUGAUAAUGCAAUGAAGUUAUGUUUUAUCAAUUUUUGUGUUUCCAAUGCUUCCUUUUUUCCUUCUUUCCCUAAAUCAAAUUUCAUUGUCAAUUUCUUUCACGGCAACAGAUAUAAAAUGUCUUCGAACUUAUUUGUCCCGAGGUAAAUUUAUGAUUUAGAAUUAAUUACAUUGCUUUAUGUAAUUAAAUCUGAAAUUAAUCUUCCC